AGUGAACGCUGGCGGUAGGCCUAACACAUGCAAGUCGAACGGCAGCACAGGAGAGCUUGCUCUCUGGGUGGCGAGUGGCGGACGGGUGAGGAAUACAUCGGAAUCUGCCCAGUCGUGGGGGAUAACGUAGGGAAACUUACGCUAAUACCGCAUACGACCUUCGGGUGAAAGAGGGGGAUCGCAAGACCUCUCGCGAUUGGAUGAGCCGAUGUCGGAUUAGCUAGUUGGCGGGGUAAUGGCCCACCAAGGCGACGAUCCGUAGCUGGUCUGAGAGGAUGAUCAGCCACACUGGAACUGAGACACGGUCCAGACUCCUACGGGAGGCAGCAGUAGGGAAUAUUGGACAAUGGGCGAAAGCCUGAUCCAGCAACACCGCGUGAGUGAAGAAGGCCUUCGGGUUGUAAAGCUCUUUUAUUGGGAAAGAAAACAUUCAGGCUAAUACCCUGGGAGGAUGACGGUACCCAAAGAAUAAGCACCGGCUAACUUCGUG
Molecule: ribosomal RNA, 490 nt
Filed under: uncultured bacterium
Lineage: Bacteria
Description: partial 16S ribosomal RNA
Rfam family: Bacterial small subunit ribosomal RNA
Source: RNAcentral